UACGUAGGGAGCAAGCGUUGUCCGGAAUCAUUGGGGUACGUAAAGCGCGCGUAUGGUGGCUUCAUAAGUCCGUUUGUGAAAGUCAAAGGCUCAACCUUUGAAAGCCGAUGGAUACUGUGGAGCUAGAGUUACGGAAGAGGCGAGUGGAAUUCCUGGUGUAGCGGUGGAAUGCGCAGAUAUCAGGAGGAACACCAAUAGCGAAGGCAGCUCGCUGGGACGUUACUGACACUGAGGCGCGAAAGCGUGGGGAGCGAACAGG
This 259-nucleotide ribosomal RNA is filed under the name uncultured bacterium. RNAcentral's name for it is "partial 16S ribosomal RNA". It matches the Rfam family "Bacterial small subunit ribosomal RNA", at positions 524 to 776 of the family's 1533-position model. The record is from RNAcentral.